RNAcentral lists this ribosomal RNA (459 nucleotides) under uncultured bacterium. RNAcentral's name for it is "partial 16S ribosomal RNA". It matches the Rfam family "Bacterial small subunit ribosomal RNA", at positions 338 to 795 of the family's 1533-position model. The record is from RNAcentral.
CCUACGGGAGGCUGCAGUGAGGAAUAUUGGUCAAUGGGCGGAAGCCUGAACCAGCCAAGUAGCGUGCAGGAUGACGGCCCUACGGGUUGUAAACUGCUUUUAUACGGGAAUAACGCGCCUUACGUGUAGGGCCUUGCAUGUACCGUAUGAAUAAGCACCGGCUAAUUCCGUGCCAGCAGCCGCGGUAAUACGGAGGAUGCGAGCGUUAUCCGGAUUUAUUGGGUUUAAAGGGUGCGGAGGCGGUCCGGGAAGUCAGCGGUAAAAGCCCGGGGCUCAACCCCGGCGAUCCGUUGAAACUGUCGGACUAGAGAGGGCGAGAAGUACGCGGAAUGCGCGGUGUAGCGGUGAAAUGCAUAGAUAUCGCGCAGAACUCCGAUUGCGAAGGCAGCGUACCGGCGCCGGACUGACGCUGAGGCACGAAAGCGUGGGUAUCGAACAGGAUUAGAUACCCUUGUAGUC